GACGAACGCUGGCGGCGUGCUUAACACAUGCAAGUCGAACGGAAAGGCCCUGCUUUUGUGGGGUUCUCGAGUGGCGAACGGGUGAGUAACACGUGAGUAACCUGCCCAUGACUGUGGGAUAACUUCAGGAAACUGCGGCUAAUACCGGAUAGGAGCUCCUGCUGCAUGGGGGGGGUUGGAAAGUUUAGGCGGUGGGGGCUGGACGGGCGGCUUAUCAGCUGGUUGGUUGGGUAGUUGCUUACGAAGGCAUAGACGGCUAGCCCGCAUGGGAGCGUGGACGGCGACCAUGGUCCUGCGAGAGGGAGCAGUGGGGUAUGGUAGGCAGCAGGGGGAAACCUUGCCCAAUGGUGCGGAGCGUGUGGAAGAGGCGUCCCGAGCGGGAAGCCCGCUUUGGGGUGGUAAACCGCAUUCGCCUGUGACGAAGCGGGAGUGACGUUAACGGGUAAAGAAGCACCGGCUAACUACGUG
RNAcentral lists this ribosomal RNA (468 nucleotides) under uncultured bacterium. RNAcentral describes it as "partial 16S ribosomal RNA". It matches the Rfam family "Bacterial small subunit ribosomal RNA", at positions 28 to 507 of the family's 1533-position model. The record is from RNAcentral.